Small nucleolar RNA from Zingiber officinale, 106 nucleotides. The record is from RefSeq and is a predicted model, not a curated record. Lineage: Eukaryota; Viridiplantae; Streptophyta; Magnoliopsida; Zingiberales; Zingiberaceae.
AAACCAUGGCGGGGACACUAUCUUAAUAAACUUUUGAAUCAGUCCCAUGCUUCAAAUAACGAUUCUUCAUCUGCCUGAGCAAAACUUGUAAUACAUUUCCUCAUAU